Long non-coding RNA from Micropterus dolomieu (smallmouth bass), 782 nucleotides. RefSeq lists it as uncharacterized. NCBI's taxonomy places the organism in Eukaryota, Metazoa, Chordata, Actinopteri, Centrarchiformes, Centrarchidae. The record is from RefSeq and is a predicted model, not a curated record. The transcript is spliced from 6 exons.
GCACCUGGUUUAAUUUGCGUAAAAUCUGAGUGGAGUCUGGUGCAGAGUCCCGGAUGUGGAGGGAGCUUUGCGCUUCAGACAGAAAGAGACAUGUGGAGACGUCACCAUGGGCCCCUGGGUGAAACUGUGGUCAGCGGUCAUGGACUUGGAUCGGAGCGUCAACGAGGUGCUGGGGGCUCGUUUUGGAGGAGGUGGAGCUACAAGACAAGAACCAGGAGAUCACAGGUUGGAUUCGGAUUUCCUGGACACGGAUACGACCUUCAUCAGCAGUCGACUUCCUCCCUGUCGGAUCAGAGAGACGACCUGCCGGUGACCCACCUUCACCACGUCAGCGCCGUUCACCUGGACGGACAGACAGGUAGAUGAAGAAUCCUCCUUCACCUAUAGACAGAACUGCAGAUCCACAACACAGAGUCAGUAGAACCGCCGAUGUACCACCGGCUGCACUACAGAUGGACAUCUGUCUGACCUUUCACCCUCUCUCCUCGGUGCAGCUGGAUCUCUCCAGGCCCCUGGGGGACGUGGGACCGGGUGGCGAUGAAGUGAGAGAAGCGCUGUUCCUGCAGAGGACGGCCCGAUGCAGAGCGGUGAUCCCGUCUCUGGUCCUGAAGUCCAGGUGAGCUCCUCCACUGCGAAGAACUUUUAUCAAGUCGCCACUUUCCUCCAGCUGGACCGCCAGGGUCAGAGGACACUCUGAGACGCAAACAUCCAAAACAAGUCAUUACUGCUUCAAAAUAAGAGCAGAUCAAUGGAAAAUAAACAUGUGGGACUGAGGACGCAGA